Molecule: ribosomal RNA, 244 nt
Filed under: uncultured Staphylococcus sp.
Lineage: Bacteria; Bacillati; Bacillota; Bacilli; Caryophanales; Staphylococcaceae
Description: partial 16S ribosomal RNA
Rfam family: Bacterial small subunit ribosomal RNA
Source: RNAcentral
CGGCGGACGGGUGAGUAACACGUGGAUAACCUACCUAUAAGACUGGGAUGACUUCGGGAAACCGGAGUUAAUACCGGAUAAUAUAUUGAACCGCAUGGUUCAAUAGUGAAAGACGGGUUUGCUGUCACUUAUAGAUGGAUCCGCGCCGCAUUAGCUAGUUGGUAAGGUAACGGCUUACCAAGGCAACGAUGCGUAGCCGACCUGAGAGGGUGAUCGGCCACACUGGAACUGAGACACGGUCCAG